UCUCUGCGAAAUUUGUUUCGCUUGCAGUUUGACGACACUUGCCGGAGUGACCGUGACCCCGCGUCAGCGAUGCACCGUGUCUGAUUAAAGUAAGGAAGAAGAAGGGGUAACGGGCCGCAACGGCAACAAAUGAAUCAUUUAUAGAUGCUAAAUCGUAUAGAAACGAUCACAAUUGAGAGAGGAGAGAUACACUGUUCAGUAGCGCAAUUCGUGAAGUAGAAAGGAAAGAGGAGGGACCCAUUAGGCAGUACGUAAAUCGUUGAACGCUCGUAUGGAGGCGUGCACAUCGAAGGUGGCACGCAAUAGGACGACGAGUGGCUGCUGCUCGACGCGCAUCUUCGUGUACGAGUCGAUAAGUUAGUAGCAAGAAGGACGGCAUAUCGAGAAGUGGAAGAAGAGUAACUCGUGCAGUAAUUGUGUGAGAAAGGAGAAGAAGAAGAAAAAGAAAAAGAGCGUCGUUGUAAGCUUACGUAAAAGAGAAAAUAAUAAAAGGUCGAUAGAAGAGAGUGCGCGUUCGUGCGUCACACGAUGGAACGAAGGUAAAUGGCACGCGAGGGACCUUGACGAGUACACAUCUAGGCCAUAGACCUUGAACUUUGUGUCUAGAUCACGCUUCGGACAUACAAUUCAGCCGCCAAAUCAGGAACUCACUCUUGUUACGAGACAUAUCGGCUAUAAACGAAAGAAACAACUAGGAUAUAUAAUAAAUAAUACAAAAAGAAACAAAAUGGAGGUUACGAUAAGUAUUCUAAGGGGUAGUUCCCUCCUACGUUUUCAUUGGUCCAAGUCAAUAUAUCUAAUUGGUCGAAAUACGAACAGGUCCUUCCUUCCCUAGUCCCCUCCUAUUGGCUGGAAGAAAGGCCGGUUUUUAAAACGAAACUUUGCGACUAGCGGAAAAAUACGAUCGAUCCCGAAGGAGUUCAACGGAAAUAAAGAAGCGUAGAGAGAGAAAGAGAGAGAGAGAGAGAGAGAGAGAGAGAGCGCGAGAGGUUCAGACAACCUUGACUUUAGUGACGUCACCGGAUACCGUUGUGGAUAGCGCCUUGCGAACUUUGUGAAUGGCAUCCGGGUGUGCGUGCUAGCACGCGUUCUUUCGCGCGUGGGUGCGUUCACAUGCAAGCUUUACGUGAACGCGCGUCUCAAUGCUGUGUCUGGAAUAUUCAGACAUGAAACAAUAAUAAAGAUUGGUCUACAUUUCAUUCGAAAUUCAACCAAUCUUUUUAUUUGAAUUCGACACAUAACUCACAGCCAUCAAAUUAUUAAUCCGUUUAGAUCAAAUCCAAUUCGAUCAUCGAUUAGAAAUUCUAAGUUUUUCUAGUGAUUUUUAAAUUUCGCGGGAUAUAACAUUAUUCUUUGUGAUCCCCCUUUAUGCAGCAUCAUUUUUAUUUCCGCGCUCUUUUCCAUGGCGCAUGCGUACGCAUCCACGGCAUUAAUGAUCACCGCGCAUGCGCGAAGGGAAAAUUCGUCGUAUUCCGAAAUACCGUGUGAUAUCCAUGACAACGAGGAUCAAAGACCGGUUCUUAUAUUUUUUCACCAGCCAAUAUGGAUUAUUCUUUAGAGAUUUUCUAAAAAAAAAAAAAGAAAUAAACUAAUUAUCGAAAUGACGAAAGAGUGACGAUAUUUCGUUAGAAAUAUAGAAUGAAAUAUACAGAUAAGAAAUUAUGAAAAUAUAUAUUUUAUGAUCAUGUCAAGUGUUAAUUUAAAAUGGUACUUUAAUUUUCUUUUCUAGAAGUUAAGAAUUUAAAAAGAACACAUCCUAAAUAGGAAAGCUAACAUUUAUUUCGUAUAUUGAAAAUCUUUACGUGUAAAUUUAAUCAUUUCGCAUAUAUAUAAUGAAGAAUAGUUGAUAACAUGACUAUCGUAGUACAACACUCUGAAUACGAUUCGAACGAGGAAAAACAAAGAUAUCAAAUUGAAAGUUUCUUUAUUCGUUAUAGCUUCGAUAAGAUUAUUUCUUCGCGGAAUGUAGUAUCCGCGUUGGGAUGCGAGUGUAAAGUAGAACAUGGAAUGCAGAAACGCUUUGGGAUAUAUAAUCACAUUAGUGCAGAACAAAGAACAACGUAGAUCGUUCGUGAUUCAUUUCCGAGAGUGCACGCACUUCAAGGCCGAUGAACGACCCAACAGACGUUUCUGUUUUGGUCUUUGUCUCUUUGCUCAAAGCAAAGACAAAAAGAAUUCCAAAGACUGUAUACUUUAUUUUAGAACACAAUCUAUUUACAUGAAAGCAUGAUAGGAAAAAACCAAAUUCGAGAGAAAGGAUAUUUCAAAUAUAAUUAUUUUUGAAAUGAAAAUAAGAAUAUUUUUUGAAAUCAAUUCCAAGAUGGAAGACUUGAUUAUGCAUAUUGACUAAACCGAACGUCA
RNAcentral lists this long non-coding RNA (2361 nucleotides) under Polistes canadensis. RNAcentral describes it as "uncharacterized LOC106789794". The record is from RNAcentral. Lineage: Eukaryota; Metazoa; Arthropoda; Insecta; Hymenoptera; Vespidae.